Molecule: transfer RNA, 83 nt
Filed under: Asterophora parasitica
Lineage: Eukaryota; Fungi; Basidiomycota; Agaricomycetes; Agaricales; Lyophyllaceae
Rfam family: tRNA
About the family: Transfer RNA (tRNA) molecules are approximately 80 nucleotides in length. Their secondary structure includes four short double-helical elements and three loops (D, anti-codon, and T loops). Further hydrogen bonds mediate the characteristic L-shaped molecular structure. tRNAs have two regions of fundamental functional importance: the anti-codon, which is responsible for specific mRNA codon recognition, and the 3' end, to which the tRNAs corresponding amino acid is attached (by aminoacyl-tRNA synthetases). tRNAs cope with the degeneracy of the genetic code in two manners: having more than one tRNA (with a specific anti-codon) for a particular amino acid; and 'wobble' base-pairing, i.e. permitting non-standard base-pairing at the 3rd anti-codon position.
Source: Rfam by way of RNAcentral
UCCCUCUUAGCUCAGUGGUAGAGCGCAUCACUAGUAUUUCAGGUCCUAUGAUGAGGUCAGUCGUUCAAGUCGGCUAGAGGGAA